UUCAAAAGCUAGUUCUAAUGGAGUGACUUGUAUUGUGUUUGUGGUCUUGCCACUUUCCAUCCUGCAUAGGAGAAGUCUCCAACUUGCAUUUCCUCUUGCACAGUUGCAUUGCUUUCCAAGCAUUCCUCUGUUUGCCACCUUAAAAUUGUGAACUCCAACAUAUUUAGUUGGCGAAGAUUUGCUUAAAAAACAAUUUUAUGCUGAUAUUCUAUGAAUAAUUACACUUUUAUGGUUGGUUGGUUGCUCUAAUAUGACACUUAGACCCUGGACGUUCUCUAUUUUUUCUCAAUGUGAAACUCCCAUCAAUCAAUCAUGGUACUGACCUAGCAUUCCUAUGCAUAUAUGUUUGUGCUUGUGCUUCUAAGCUGAUGGGGCCACAUUGCUUACUAUGGGUCUUCAUCACUGAUUUCAGGAUAAAAGCACUUUAACUAUCAGGUAGCUUGGAAGAACAUCGGCAUACUCCGUUAUGUCAGCUUGGAGGUUGUUGCAGCUUUUGGUUGCCUCUCUCUGUAAAUAAUCAACAUUUGAGUAGUGCACCGUUGCUAUGAAGGCCGUGUUCUCUGCUUGGCUUUAUGCAAAUAGCAGGCACGACUUCCUCUCUUUAGUUUGGUUCUCGUGGAUGCUCAGGGACACAACUACGUUAGCUCUUUGGAGUGAGAAUGCCGAAGCCUCAAAUGAAUUACUUUGGCUAUGGGAUGCGCUUUCAAAAGGCAAGACUCUAAAAUUAUGAUUUCUCGAGCUGCUUCACUGCUAGCUUUCUUUCCUAUUGCCAGGAGCUUCGUGUUCAUGCAUUUUCUCUGCAUAUUUUGAUUAUAGUGAUGUUAUGUCUCAGCAAGCAAUUGUUCUCAACUAUGCAUCUAUACAAAUAUGCCAGGCAUUGUUGCAUUGUGCUAAGGUAGUUUUCGGUGUGGUUUGCCAAUUUAUUAUCACAUAUAUGUAAAAUUGCUUUCCAAGCCAACCCACCCACCCAUAGGACUUGGUUAAAAUUCUCCUUAUUUUUUUCUGACCAAAAAAAUCUGGUUUACUGCAUUUCCAUUGCACCAAUGGUGGUAUGAUAUCACAGUCGUGUUUAAAUUAAGGCAAUCAGCUGUACACAUUCAGCAAACUAAGGGUUGCUUUGGCAUAUAUUGCUAGCUCUGGAUUUGUUGGACAUCCUUUUAUGUAAAAAUAUCUUCCAACGCAUACAACUUUUGAGCUAUACAUGUCAUUUGAACCUUAAGAUGAGCUUUAACAUAGAUGAAAAAUAUCUUCCAACACAUGCAACUUUCGAGAUAUACAUGUGAUUUGUUCAUCCUGACUAUAAUUUAUGUAUAGCUUUAUAGCUUUAUAGUUUCUGAAUCUUUUAUUUUUCUUAUUCCUUUGGUUUUUCAAAUGACAUGUAUAUCUUGAAAGGUGUAUGUGUUGAAACAUAUAUUUAUUCUAUGUUAAAUCUCAUCUUCAGGAUCGUUAUACAUGUCUCGCAGUCUGAUUAUUUUUAAAAUAUAAGCCAAAUUACUAAAUAUUGGUCCCUGGAGUUUCACUUGUCAUAACAGGUGAGUAUUUUGCUCUCAAAACUGAUAAAUAUCUUUGAUUGGGUCUCUAUGCUAGAAAAUUUAUUGUUGUUCAGUUGUCAGGCAUGAUAAAAUGCUUUAUAAAGUUUUGAAUUUAGUUUUGGGUGAUGAAUAUUAUCUCUUUAUUACAAUUAAGGUUCAGAACUUGCUAUUUUGCUUAUCCUCAUGUUAAUAUGAAUCCUUGUCUAGAAAAGAAAAAAAACGAGUUCAGAUAAGUAAUGUCAUGCAACUCGAAGGGUUGGAGAAGCGGGCGCUGAUAGCGGCGCUUGCCUCUUCAUGCCCUCUACUCAAGCGAUUUGAUUUGUCUCCCUCAGUGUGCAAUGCACCAUGGAUGUUUGUCUCAGGUCAGGUUUAUGAUGCGCCUAGCGUGUAUUUUGUCUGGCCUUUGAGGGUUAGGAUCCGUGUCCUGCCAGAAUAGAUGCAGCUCAUGUAUUCGUAGGGUAUUUUCAUUUGUAUUUCUUUUUUGGAGAACAUCUGUUUCUUUUUGUUUAUGUGAAGAACACAUCUGAAUAUUCAUUAGACGUGAAAUGACAAAUGAGUUACCGUGAAUAGCAAGAACUAGGGUAUUCAAUAUAUGUGCUUUGAGGUAUAUAGCUCAGAGACCUACACUGUUCUUAACUAAAAUUAAUUCUAUUUGUCACACAAAGUAGUGGCAUCGUUGCUACUGUCACUGUCAGUGUACAUUUUAGUUUCUUAUGCUACCUUCUUUUUUGUAAAAUUAUUUGAUUGUUCUCAGAUUCCAAAAGAAAAGGAAAUUCUCUAUUGCGAUGCAGUUAUAAUCUUAUAUUCGAAUUCAGUGCAUGCUCUUUUUCCGUAAUAGUUUCAUGGUUUCUUUAACUAUGACUGUGGCAUGUUCUUCUUACCUAGGUCAGAAAACCUCAUGGAAAGGUCAGCCAAAUUACUGAUAGAUGUUAUAUUACAUUUCAACAUUUUAUUGAGCAUUUGUUCUUUGUGUCGAUUCUAAUGUAUUUAAAUGGUGCAGACAUCUUUGAGUCAUGGAAUAAAAUUAUCAUAAUAAUAUUAUACAUGUCUAUAGAGACGAAGUUGAAACCAAGUUUGUCUUCACUACAUUAGUGAGAAAACCCAUUGGAAUGCCUUUGCUCAGGCUCCUAUCCCAUGGUCAAGCACCUGUUCGCAGUCUGGCUUACUUAAAAAAUUGGCCACUAAUAACUGAUUACAUUUCAUUGAAGAAACUUGGAUAAGAGCACAAUCGCACCUUCCAAAAUAAAUGCAGUUUUACCUAUCAUGUAGGUAUUUGCUCCUUCACAGUCGCUGUAUAAACCAAAAGCCAACAUUAUUGCAAGCCUGCCAUCUGUUAGUUUGACAAAUAUUUAAAUCUAUAUAUGCUGCAUUCUUGUUAUCGCAUUUAUAUUCUAAGUUGUACGGAACCGAUAGUACUUUUCAGUUCUUUGUCAUAAUUACCCAAAUAACAGUUAAAUUUUGCUUGUUCUUUCUAUGGAGUAACUAAUCGAGCACCAAUUAUUGCCAUUGUGGGAAUGGACAUCCGUAUUUUUCAUUAUGUUUUAUUGAAAAUAUAUAGAAGCUUCCUUCUUUUGGGAAUGUGUAGAUGUAACAAGUGCCACUUGAAUAAGCCAUAUAUCACUAUAAGAAGACAUUGAUUCCAAUUUAUUUUUUUCUUGCAGCAACCAUCUGAACUUUAUCUCCAUCAACAGGUCAGGCUAGCCCAACCACAAGAAAUAGAGUACUUAUAUUGUUGAAACGAAGAGUUUGCAUAAAAAUAACUGUUGUGCGAACUCGACAACGGCUUCGAGUUGCAAACCCUCGCUCUGGCUCUCGGGUUUCCUGCACCGCCAUCUGCACAUGCCAAAAGCAAGGUCAGACCCAGCUCUGCGCCUCCGCCCUCAACCUUCUGAUGCCACAGCCCUCCAGAGACGGCAACAACAGUACCGUUGUCGGACCCUCCUUGCCCUUCCAGUACCAACUACCAAGGAAGGAAAUCGUCAUCGUCCUCUCAUCUGACAAGGAGGACAAUGACACCAGGUACUGAGGAGCUCAAGGUGAACGAAAAGUCGGAGCAACUACAACAGCGUACCACUGAUGUUGUGUAACAACAGUAUGGCUAUGAAUCCUUAAUGCAGAUCGCUCCUCUACUGCUAAUUAGGGUAAUAUAUGGACAGUCACAAUCUCUGGCUGAAGCAUGUGGAAAUAAGAGUCGGUGUUGUGUGAAAUAGUCCAGUAGAACAAUGCACCAGCCCCAUCUGGCUUAUGUAAACAAUGUUUGUAUGAAAAUCAAAAUUAGGCUGCU
This is a non-coding RNA of Lolium perenne, 3816 nucleotides long. The record is from RefSeq and is a predicted model, not a curated record. Lineage: Eukaryota; Viridiplantae; Streptophyta; Magnoliopsida; Poales; Poaceae.